GGCUCCUACUGCCCUCUGGGCUCUGCCUCCCCCCUGCCCUGCCCUGCUGGCCAGUACAGCAGCUCAGCUGGGAACACUGGGAUCCAGGACUGCCUCCCGUGUGAUGCAGGGUAUUUCUGCAAUGGGACUGGACUUGUGUCCCCCACUGGAUUGUGUGAGGCUGGCUUCUACUGCACUGCAGGAAGCCUUUCCCCCAGACCUCCCAGGCCAACUACCAGUGGAGGUCCCUGUCCCCCUGGGCACUUCUGUGAGGAGGGGAGCAGCAGAGCCCAGCCCUGCCCUGCAGGGACCUACAGCCCAUCCUGGAGUGGGACCCAGUGCCUGGAGUGCCCAGAGGGCUUUUACUGCACCUCUGCCUCCAGCAACUACACAGACUGUCCUCAAGGUCACUACUGCCCCAGGAGCACAGAAUUUGCCACGCAGCAUCCUUGUCCCCCUGGAACCUACAGUGAAGCCCUGAAUGUCUGGGAUGUGUCCAAGUGCCAGCUGUGUCCUCCUGGCAGGGUCUGUUCCAGGCCAGGCCUGGUGAGGCCAGAUGGACUCUGCUCGCCUGGCUGGUUUUGUCCACCUGGAUCCACAUCAAGCAAACCAGUGUUUCCUGGAAAUGUCUCUGGAAAGGCAGCUCCAGCUCCAGGAUCUGUUGGGUUGUGCCCAGCAGGAACCUUUUGUCCUGCUGGGUCAUCCCUUCCCCUUCCCUGCCCUCCAGGU
Long non-coding RNA from Passer domesticus (house sparrow), 708 nucleotides. RefSeq lists it as uncharacterized. Lineage: Eukaryota; Metazoa; Chordata; Aves; Passeriformes; Passeridae. The record is from RefSeq and is a predicted model, not a curated record. The transcript has 5 exons.